This 583-nucleotide ribosomal RNA is filed under the name uncultured Mucilaginibacter sp. RNAcentral describes it as "bacterial SSU rRNA". It matches the Rfam family "Bacterial small subunit ribosomal RNA", at positions 102 to 683 of the family's 1533-position model. Lineage: Bacteria; Pseudomonadati; Bacteroidota; Sphingobacteriia; Sphingobacteriales; Sphingobacteriaceae. The record is from RNAcentral.
ACGGGUGCGUAACACGUAUGUAACCUACCUUAAUCAGGGGGAUAGCCUCUCGAAAGAGAGAUUAAGACCGCAUAACAUCAGCUUACAGCAUUGUAUACUGAUCAAAUAUUUAUAGGAUUAAGAUGGGCAUGCGGAACAUUAGCUAGUUGGUAAGGUAAAGGCUUACCAAGGCUACGAUGUUUAGGGGAUCUGAGAGGAUGACCCCCCACACUGGUACUGAGACACGGACCAGACUCCUACGGGAGGCAGCAGUAAGGAAUAUUGGUCAAUGGGCGGAAGCCUGAACCAGCCAUGCCGCGUGCAGGAAGACUGCCCUACGGGUUGUAAACUGCUUUUGUACCGGAAUAAACCUUGAUUCGUGAAUCAAGCUGAAUGUACGGUAAGAAUAAGGAUCGGCUAACUCCGUGCCAGCAGCCGCGGUAAUACGGAGGAUCCAAGCGUUAUCCGGAUUUAUUGGGUUUAAAGGGUGCGUAGGUGGCUUUUUAAGUCAGGGGUGAAAGACGGUAGCUUAACUAUCGCAGUGCCUUUGAUACUGAAGAGCUUGAAUGAACUAGAGGUAGGCGGAAUGUGACAAGUAGCGGUG